Molecule: RNA transcript, 1551 nt
Organism: Abrus precatorius (Indian licorice)
Lineage: Eukaryota; Viridiplantae; Streptophyta; Magnoliopsida; Fabales; Fabaceae
Gene name: mitochondrial carnitine/acylcarnitine carrier-like protein
Exons: 5
Source: RefSeq, a predicted model, not a curated record
UUGUCCAUUGUAAUUUGUAUUUAUAGGCUUAUAAAAGUGUCAUUAGUUGUAGGCUCAGACUCAGACUAGACUGUGCUUUGUGUCGUCAUCUCAACCUAUUAUCUGUGUCUCUUUCCUCUGCAUCUGUUUAAGAUUUCGUUCCUCUGUUCGGGCGUUUUUGUCUUGCAUUUGCAUCAUCCAUCGUCACCUUUGCAGAUUCAUUCACCUAACACCCCUUCUAUUCAUUCAACCCCUAACUCCUCUCUUCUCCCGCAACUAUCUGACAAACGUGUGGUUCUGUUCAACAUUUUUCUUUUUUCCGUCUAUUUAUUUGGGAACCAGCCAAAAGCACGCUGCGGAGUGGUUCUAUAUGUUUUCAAAGUAUAUUAUUGAGGAGGAAAGAGAAAUCCCUGUCAUUUCAUAUAUGAACAUAUAUGUCUUUUGAUGGGAGAUGUUGCUAAGGACCUUACCGCUGGAACUGUUGGAGGGGCAGCACAAUUGAUAGUUGGACACCCAUUUGACACCAUCAAGGUCAAGCUCCAAAGCCAGCCUACACCACUCCCGGGCCAGCUUCCCAAGUAUUCUGGUGCCAUUGAUGCUGUUAAGCAGACAGUGGCAGCCGAAGGCCCAAGGGGUUUAUACAAGGGUAUGGGAGCCCCACUCGCCACAGUAGCUGCCUUCAAUGCUGUCCUGUUUACAGUUAGGGGACAGAUGGAGGCAUUACUGAGGCCACAUCCAGGUGCACCCCUCACAGUAAAUCAACAGAUUGUUUGUGGAGCUGGAGCUGGAGUUGCUGUUUCCUUUCUAGCUUGCCCCACUGAAUUGAUCAAAUGCAGGUUGCAAGCACAAAGUGUGCUUGCUGGUUCUGGAACAGCUUCAGUGGCAGUGAAAUAUGGGGGACCCAUGGAUGUGGCCAGGCAUGUUCUUAGGUCAGAAGGGGGCAUGAAAGGUCUUUUCAAGGGCUUGGUUCCCACUAUGGCGCGUGAAAUACCCGGAAAUGCUGCAAUGUUUGGUGUAUAUGAAGCAGUAAAGCAAUUACUUGCAGGAGGUCCUGAUACCUCUGGACUGGGUAGAGGUUCUCUGAUUACUGCAGGAGGCUUGGCUGGAGCUUCUUUCUGGUUCAUGGUUUACCCAACUGAUGUUGUUAAGAGUGUGAUUCAAGUAGAUGAUUACAAAAACCCAAAGUUUUCUGGUUCAAUUGAUGCUUUCAGAAGGAUUCUAGCAUCUGAGGGGUUCAAAGGCCUUUAUAAGGGUUUUGGUCCUGCAAUGGCCCGAAGUGUUCCUGCCAAUGCAGCUUGCUUUUUGGCAUAUGAAAUGACAAGAUCAGCUCUAGGAUGAUUAAUUCAUACAACAAGCCUGAUAGGGGUUCCACACACUGCUCAUUUUUCCAUUUCUUCUUAAUUCCUACAACAAUUUUAUUUUAUAUCAUUGCAAUGUGGCCACACAGGCUUACUUCAAGGAAUCAUUCUUUCACCUAUGUUGCAUAGCUCUGGAAGAGCAGAGUGACUCUUACCAUUUCAAUGGCAUGUAAGUGGUACCAGUCGUUUUUAAAUUCCUUACCCUAGUCCAAAC